CUCUAGCCACUCUCUCCAAACUCCUCCGCGCCUCUCUACUUCAUGCUCAGCAAAACCCUCCAAAUCCCUAGAAAUUAGAACUCUAUUACACCUUAAAUCUCUUCAUCGCAUACCUCGUCUUUGCAAUCCUAUCAUUGGAUUCCCUCUCUCUAAUUCGUCUCCAGUCAGCAACUACUACUUCAAAUCGAGUUCCUUCAAGGCUUACCUCGCCGCCAAUGAUUCUGCACCUAGUACAAAUGACAAAGAGGAGAACGUUCAAAAUGAUGUGAAAGCAUCAGAAAAAGAAGCAGAUGACAAACAUGUACCCAGUUUGAAGAACCUUAUUAAUAUUUAUAAAGCAUCUAUUCUUCAUGGAGAUGAGAGGACUGUACUGGACAUUGAGGCUAGGAUAAAUAUUAUAGAAAAUGAUAAUUAUGAAUUAACCCAGAAAGUUUCA
RNAcentral lists this unclassified non-coding RNA (436 nucleotides) under Hevea brasiliensis (rubber tree). Lineage: Eukaryota; Viridiplantae; Streptophyta; Magnoliopsida; Malpighiales; Euphorbiaceae. The record is from RNAcentral.